GAUGAACGCUGGCGGCGUGCUUAACACAUGCCAGUCGAACGGAAAGGCUCCUGCUUGCAGGGGUACUCGAGUGGCGAACGGGUGAGUAACACGUGGGUGAUCUGCCCUGCACUUCGGGAUAAGCCUGGGAAACUGGGUCUAAUACCGGAUAGGACGAUGGUUUGGAUGCCAUUGUGGAAAGUUUUUCGGUGUGGGAUGAGCUCGCGGCCUAUCAGCUUGUUGGUGGGGUAAUGGCCUACCAAGGCGUCGACGGGUAGCCGGCCUGAGAGGGUGUACGGCCACAUUGGGACUGAGAUACGGCCCAGACGCCUACGGGAGGCAGCAGUGGGGAAUAUUGCACAAUGGGCGCAAGCCUGAUGCAGCGACGCCGCGUGGGGGAUGACGGCCUUCGGGUUGUAAACUCCUUUCGCUAGGGACGAAGCGCAAGUGACGGUACCUGGAGAAGAAGCACCGGCUAACUACGUG
Molecule: ribosomal RNA, 465 nt
Filed under: uncultured bacterium
Lineage: Bacteria
Description: partial 16S ribosomal RNA
Rfam family: Bacterial small subunit ribosomal RNA
Source: RNAcentral